RNAcentral lists this unclassified non-coding RNA (386 nucleotides) under uncultured fungus. RNAcentral's name for it is "partial contains 5.8S ribosomal RNA, internal transcribed spacer 2, and large subunit ribosomal RNA". The record is from RNAcentral. Lineage: Eukaryota; Fungi.
AACGCAAAUUGCACUCUCGGGUAUUCCUGGGAGUAUACUUCUUUCAGUAUCGGUUCUAUCCAAACUCGACUGCGUUUCGGCGUGGUCGGAUUAUGAGCGCCACACUGAUCAAAAGGUGUGCUGCUUGAAAGAAAGAGGAGCGUUCAGCUUCUCGGUUCAGGUCUCGGUGGGUUCCCUUUUCUUCUCCCUUGCGGGAGAAGCGGAGAGGCACACUGAGUGACGUGGUUAAGUCCGCCUUGUGCGACACUCCCGUCAUUCACCAUAGUGAGCCUCUUUUCGUAGCGGAGCCGCUUGGCCUGGGGUCGGGAGUUGUUUUUGCUCUUUUUGGGAUCAACCGCAAAAUAAAAUCAGAUCUGAAAUGAAGUAAGAGGACCCGCUGAACUUAA